Transfer RNA from Ovis aries (sheep), 72 nucleotides. It matches the Rfam family "tRNA". From Rfam's summary of the family: Transfer RNA (tRNA) molecules are approximately 80 nucleotides in length. Their secondary structure includes four short double-helical elements and three loops (D, anti-codon, and T loops). The record is from Rfam. Lineage: Eukaryota; Metazoa; Chordata; Mammalia; Artiodactyla; Bovidae.
UCCCUGGUGACUCAGAGGUAAAAGAACCUGCCUGCAAUGCAGGAGACCUAGGUUCAAUCCCAGGUCGGGAAG